CCCGUCGCUCCUCCUGGCCCAUCUCGCUGCCGGCGACCCAGCCCUCGCUCAUCUUCCUCCUCGCGCGAGCGCCGCCACCGCCACCGCCACCGCCGGUUGAUCUCCCCUACGAUUCUCUCCCUCCCGACCGUUUCUCCUUCCGUCAUCCCACUAACGGAUUCCGCCCUUUAGCUUCCCGUUUCAUUUCCUUUAAUCUUCCCCAAUUCGUAACCGAGGCAAAUAUCAAGGUAGGGCUUCCUCCGCCCGUGGUGCCAUAACCGAGGCAAAUAUCAAGGUAGGGCUUCCUCCGCCCGUGGUGCCAUGGCUGCGCAUUACCAAGCCACUACCCUGAUUGCUUCCCCGUCCUAUCCAAAUGCAAUUGCUUGGUCGAGUGAGAACUUGGUGGCUGUUGCCUCCGGUCACGUCAUCACUAUCCUGAACCCAGCAUCACUUGAUGGGCCUCGUGGAAUUGCUUUACUUCGCCCUAGCGAUCCUUUCCCCAUAGGGGUGGUUAACAGAGACGAUCUCUUUGAACCAUGUUUAGUGCCAACAUCCUUGGCCCGUGAUACCGAACCAUGUGCACGGUCAAUUUCAUGGUCUCAACAAGGAUUUGCUCCUAAUGCUAGUUGUUUGCUGGCUGUCUGUACUGUUGAUGGCCAUGUGAAUCUUUACCGUCCGCCAGUUUAUGAACUUUGUGAUGACUGGGUUAAGGUUGCGGAUAUAUCUCAGUUGUUGUUUAAUUAUUACCAAGAUAUAAACUUUGGAGAGGAUGAUGGUCCGGAUUUGUUUCAGCAGGAGGAGUUAAAUAAUGAGCACACACACGGCACAGGAUAUGCUGGUGAGUUACAAGAACCUCUUUCCUCCAGAGGUCCUGGACCUGGACGGAGAAAAAGGAAACCAGCAAGGGUUGAAAGCUAUGUUUAUAAUGAGGAUCAAGAUGAUUUAGGUGCUUCAGAGGAUGCAGACUUUUCACUGAACCCAUGCUCUAAGACAAUGAAGAGAUCCAUGAAAAAGAUCGUCAAGCCUGUACAUGAAAUGGCUGUCGUAAUCAGGCAAGGCGUCUCACAAAAUACCAAAGAACCACUUUCUUGCAAUGGAGAGAACAAACUUCUUCCUCAUAUCACAGCAAAACAAUAUGCAUAUCGCAAUGCAGUUUUGUCUUCACUCGUAGUUGCAUGGUCUCCAGUUUUGCUGGCACAUGAUGCUUCCCGUUGGUGCAUUCUUGCUGUUGGUUCGAAGUCUGGGGAUGUUUCAUUUUGGAAAAUACAUAAGCCCGUGUACUACACAAUAGAUGUUUGCACUGUUUACAGAGAUCCAAUACUCAUUGGAGUUCUCCAAGCUCAUAAUUCAUGGGUUAGUGCCAUGAGCUGGGAAGUUUUCUCUGCAAGCUCCUCAAAGUGCUCAUUGCUUUUAGCAACUGGAUGCACAGAUGGAAGUGUGAAGAUAUGGUCAGGUGAUAUCAAAGAAUUAAAUCAAUGUACAGAUGUAAAAGGAGUUCCAUUUUCAUUAGUGACAGAGGUCACCACUAUUUCGUCAGCUCCAGUCUCGUCAAUUUCAUCGUCUCUACCAGCUCAGCCUCAGUAUGAGCUCAAUUUGGCAGUCGGGAGAGUAUCUGGGUCACUGGAAACAUGGACAUUUGAUCUAUGCACCAACAUAAUUAAGAACAGCAGUGCAUGUCAUGCACAUGACCGAGUGGUGACUGGUUUAUCAUGGGGGUUGGAUGGCCACUGUUUAUACAGCUGCAGUCAGGAUAAUUCUGCACGCUGUUGGAUCUUUGAAAAAAAUCACCUUCAAGAAAUUCCUCUGCACACAAAUUUCCUGGAGCAAAAAGAAUCAACAAAUCUAUCAGAAGUAUCUGAUCGAUGCUAUGGUCUUACACCUGCACCUGGAGAACUAAUGAUUGCUGUGGUCCGCAGCUUGGAUCCGAAUAUGUUAGAUCAGAUGUAUCAAGCCAGGACACAAAAGGCAGUGGUAGAGUUUAUUUGGAUUGGUGGUCAGUUCCUUGGUAUCCCACUAGACAAGAGCAUUCAUAUCUGCAGUCAACAAUCUGCAAUGUUAUCUGUGACUAACUUAUUAUGGUGGGGAUCCAACAUUUUUUGGUCAUUGAAGAAAUAUGAAAAAAGUCAAACAGGACUUGUCUUAUGGGAUGUCAUAGCUGCACUACAAGUGAUCAAGAAAUAUGCACCAACAUUUCUGGAGAUCAUACUAAAUAAAUGGAUUUCAGAUGACCAACAUUGUGUUUCUGUCGAUAUCCCAUAUGAGUCUAUAAAUGACAUGAUCUCCAAGGCCAGCUCGCGGAAGCUUCACUUGCUGAAUAUUAUCUGUAGAAAAGUAAUGCUUAGCAGUCAUUCAACUGAUUUAUGGAACAAUCUUCUAGCAAGCAGUGAAAGAGAGCUACGAGAGAGGCUUGUGGCUUUCACUUUUUCUGCUGUCUUGAGUCGAACUUCGUAUUUUCUCAAGGGCUCACAAAACAGGUGGUUUCCUGUUGGAGUUGCCCAGAUGGAUUCUUGGGUAUCUAUGAAUAGUGGAGUGUGUAAUCAACUCAAGUCUCUCAGUUCGGCUAUCAAAGAUCUAGGAAGAAGGAUCGACUCUGUGUGUGAAUACUCAGUUGACGAAACCUGUGCCUAUUGCUCUGCACCAGUUCACUUUGAGUCACCUGAUGUAGCCUUGUGUGGAGGUGUUGAUCCUUCUAUUGCUCCAGCUGAAAGGCACAAGUUGUCAAGAUGCACAGCAUCGAUGCGUUUGUGCUCUGUUCUGCAACCAAUCUGGUAUUGUGCAUGUUGUGGAGGAAUGGUUGACAAGCUGGUACCUGAGACCUUCUUCACCAUGAUGACAUCCCCUUUGGGUGGCAAUCAUGAUGAGGAAUCGCUUUAUUCAGCACCUGCUGUUCCACUUUGCCCUUUCUGCGGCAUACUGCUGCAGAGGUUGACGCCUGAGUUCCUGCUCUCUAUCUCCCCAGUAUAGAAGCUAGUGGUGGGACUUCGCUGCCAAAGUGCAUGUCAAAUUCUUUGUCUUUUGCAGCAUUGUGCGUUUGUUCUUUAUAGAGGUUGUACAUAGUCCUGUCAAAAAGGAUUUUGAGAUAAGUUUUUACGGGAUAUGGAACCAUGGAAAUGAACGUCAUCCCCAGGAUACCAUAAUCUAUCUUUGGGAUGCUUUUUGGGAGUGACUGCUGAAGAUUAUGUUGCUCAGCCUGCACUGGCAUCUGUAGCUUCAGUAGAGAUUAAGAAUCAGAUUGUCCAGAGCAAGAAAAAGGGUUCAAGAGAAGAUAAAAGUGCAUAAUCAUCACGUCCUGAUGUGGAGGAACAUAGAUUGGUAACUCUUUCUCGUGCUAUAAUGCAAACAUCUCCUUGCAAUAGGACUUCCUGGCAAGUACUAACUCUAUCUAAUUGAAAGUCUUAUCUCCUAAUAUAUCUCGACUUCCAAAUUUAAGCCUAACUUAUAUAGACCAAUUUCAAAAUUCAUGAAAAAUUGGUAUAGAAUCCUUGCUCAGUGAAGUUCCUCUAUUGGUCUACUUUCAAGAAUGUAUUGCAUUUUUGCAUGUGUAUGGACCUCAACCAACAGUACACAUGGUUUAGUGGUUAAGGAAUCAACAAAUGCAGAAAGCUUAUCUUCUUACAAAUGAAAUUAUACAUGAAACUGCACUUAGCCAUGGUCCAUGGGUCUACUGAGACUUGUUUUUAAAAACCGUUUGCAAUACUUCUACAUAACCACACCUAUAUGUUGACACCUUGCAUGUUGGUCCUUAAUCUGGACGUCUGUCUCAUCCGAAAUGGAGUCGCCCGUGAUGCCACACAGCAAUAAAUGGCAUGACCAUGGGAGGGAAGGUGAAAGUGAAGAGAUGCUUCGGCGUUUUCCAUCCCUUCCUGUCUGCUCCCUAAGCAAAGGAUAGCUGUCCGUGAUCCUGUCAUAAUCUGAGUUGUUUGCUCUCAGAACUCAAUCGCCACUAAGUGAUGAUAUUAAAGGAACGCAGUGCUAAUAGUGCUAAUAUCUCUAUUCUUGCUAUCACUGUAUCUCUUGCCCACCUAAUUGCCUCUAGACCAAAAUUUAGGAUGCCUGGAGGAUCAGUGCGCAAGGGGCAGAAAUGACAGAAGAAUGCGAUCAAUGGAGGGUGCUGUUGGAUGGGAUGGCAGAACAUCAGCCACACCGGCUGGAAGAGCGCCAACACCAACAGUAUGGCUGAGCCGUGGAAGGAUUUGACAGAACAAGGUGGACAAUUUCAACCCGUUUUCUAUUUCAGGGCAUUAUUGAACGCUGAACUAAGAAAAAUUCUGAGAUAUGAGGAAACACUAACACAUUGGAGCAAUCCGAGAUACUUGAAGUCUUGAACAGCAUGAAGUCUGAAGCUACUUAAAGUCCGGAAGGAUGCACUGGUUCACGCACAUUGAAAAACUUCUCUGACAAGAUGAGCAUGUUUACUCCUUCCCCAAAUUUUGAGUAAAUGUGAGGAAAGGCUUAACGUGUCUGUUUUCUAGAGCCGAGUUCGAAAGCAAAAGCAGAAAACACCCUGAUGGUAUCUUUUCUCAAGGGAGUGAUCAUGCCCAGGCUGUGGAAUCGAGAGAAAAUAAAUCAAUCAGUGGAAUGCACUCUUAAGAUGGAACUGCCGUAGGAAGCAAUAUAUAAAGUCAGCGCGUUGUAGACAAAUACGGAAAAACAAUAUCUCACCCAAGCUGGGUCACCACGAUCUCAUUUGUUGUGUAAUACAGUGUGACUGAGAACAACUUGUUUUCAACAUUCCAAUCUUGAAUGAACUCGAGGAGAACCAUGUUAAACAUCGCAAUGCCCGUGUGGGGGGUCUGCA
This is an RNA transcript of Brachypodium distachyon (stiff brome), 4777 nucleotides long. RefSeq lists it as uncharacterized. The transcript has 18 exons. NCBI's taxonomy places the organism in Eukaryota, Viridiplantae, Streptophyta, Magnoliopsida, Poales, Poaceae. The record is from RefSeq and is a predicted model, not a curated record.